This 410-nucleotide ribosomal RNA is filed under the name uncultured bacterium. RNAcentral's name for it is "bacterial SSU rRNA". It matches the Rfam family "Bacterial small subunit ribosomal RNA", at positions 28 to 430 of the family's 1533-position model. The record is from RNAcentral.
GAUGAACGCUAGCGGCAGGCUUAAUACAUGCAAGUCGAGGGGCAGCAUGGUUGUAGCAAUACAACUGAUGGCGACCGGCAAACGGGUGCGGAACACGUACGCAAUCUACCCAAAACUGAUGAAUAGCCCUCCGAAAGGAGGAUUAAUACAUCGUAACAUAAUUGAAUGGCAUCAUUUAAUUAUUAUAGCUCCGGCGGUUUUGGAUGAGCGUGCGCCUGAUUAGGUAGUUGGCGGGGUAACGGCCCACCAAGCCUGCGAUCAGUAACUGGUGUGAGAGCACGACCAGUCACACGGGCACUGAGACACGGGCCCGACUCCUACGGGAGGCAGCAGUAAGGAAUAUUGGUCAAUGGACGCAAGUCUGAACCAGCCAUGCCGCGUGAAGGAUGAAGGUCCUCUGGAUUGUAAAC